Molecule: ribosomal RNA, 489 nt
Filed under: uncultured bacterium
Lineage: Bacteria
Description: partial 16S ribosomal RNA
Rfam family: Bacterial small subunit ribosomal RNA
Source: RNAcentral
ACUCAAAGGAAUAGACGGGGACUUGCACAAGCGGUGGAGCAUGUGGUUCAAUUCGAUGGCAAACGAAAAACCUUACCAGGGCUUGAAAUCUCGACGCAACUCCGGUGAAAGUCGGAGCCUCUCACAAGGACGGCGGGACAGGUGCUGCAUGGUUGUCGUCAGUUCGUGAUGUGAAUUGUUCCCUUCAGUGGGGUAACGGACGCAACCCCCUUUGCCUGUUACAAGUGUCAGGCGAGACUGCCUUCGUUCAGAAGGAGGAAGGCGGGGAUGACGUCAAAUCAGCAUGGCCCUUUGAUGCCCUGGGCUACACACGUGCUACAAUGGUGUAUACAGCGGGCCGCGAAGCCGUAAGGCGGAGCUAAUCCCUCAAAGUACACCUCAGUUCGGAUUGAGGGCUGCAACUCGCCCUCAUGAAGCUGGAAUCGCUAGUAAUCGCGGGUCAGCUAUACCGCGGUGAAUACGUUCUCAAGUCUUGUACACACCGCCCGU